GGAGCUCUUCCAGGGAUCGUUCGCUUCACAUGGAAACAGUUAUGUCCAAGCACUCACGCAUGGAGCUCUCCCAGCGAAAUGUCUGCACAUUCCUCUCCAAAGGAACCCGGCGCAGCGGCCAGCUGGACCCCGUGCCGCGGAGAGAAAGGUUUCUGAUGUCCUGGAGGAAAUUGGCAGCGCCGAGCGGAGAACGAGAACAAGAGAGAUUGAGAAUGAGGCAUCAGGUGGCCGGACCUGUUUGGCACCUUCGGGGAUGUUCGGAUAAUCCAGGACUCGUGCGCACGAAUUGUCCGAGACGGCAAAACCCAGGGCUUCGAGGGUGGGUAGGCGAAAGAAAGAGGGUCACUUCUUGGUCAUAUUUUCCACUCAAGGAAGGCACUUUGUAUGUACAGUAGAGUCUCACUUAUCCAACGUUCUGGAUUAUCCAACACAUUUUUGUAGUCAAUGUUUUCAAUAUAUCGUGAUAUUUUGGUGCUAAAUUCAUAAAUACAGUAAUUACUACAUAGCAUUACUGUGUAUUGAACUACUUUUUCUGUCAAAUUUGUUGUCUAACAUGAUGUUUUGGUGCUUCAUUUGUAAAAUCAUAACCUAAUUUGAUGUUUAAUAGGCUUUUCCUUGAUGCCUCCUUAUUAUCCAACAUAUUCGCUUAUCCAACAUUCUGCCGGCCCGUUUAUGUUGGAUAAGUGAGACUCUACUGUACGUAUAAUCACCCAGCAGUCAUGUUCGCUGGCUUGCUUUGCACAAGACAAAUGACAAUUUGGUAUUGCAGUGUUGUGGCUAAUGAAAAGUGUAGUCCACAAAAUAAUAAUGAUCUCCCUCUCUCUCCAGCACUUGGGUAUAUAUGCUAACAACAACAACAACAACAACACAAUAAUAACAAUAAUACAAUGAUAAUAAUAUUAAUAAUAAUAAUAAUUAUAAUAAUAAUUUACUUGUAAGAGGACUCCUACAAGUAAAACAAGCAGUCAAAGAAGAAGAACAUGCCCUGGCAGAAUAUGUAAAGCAAAGUGAAGAACCUGCUUUGAUUGAAGUCAAAAAUCAGAAACUCCUCAAAGCACAGCAGACAAAAAACCAGUACAAGAAAACCGCACUACAAACUAGAGCUGACAGCUGGCACAACAAAACAUUGCAUGGAAAGUUCCUUGACAAAAUUGAAGGAAAAGCUGAUAAGGAGAAGACCUGGCUCUGGCUCACGAAUGGGACCCUGAAGAAGGAGACACAAGGCCUGAUCCUUGCAGCCCAGGAGCAAGACAUCAGGACAAAGGCAAUCAAGGCCAAGAUUGAAAAAUCAGCCGAUGACCCAAAAUGCAGACUGUGCAAGGAAAUCGACAAAACCAUUUAUCAUAUCCUCAGCUGUUGUAAGAAAAUCACACAGACAGACUACAAACAGAGGCACAACUAUGUGGCCCAAAUGAUCCUUUGGAACUUAUGCCUCAAGUACCACCUCCCAGCAGCAAAGAACUGGUGGGAUCACAAACCUGCAAAAGUAUUGGAAAAUGAGCACGCAAAGAUACUGUGGACUUCCGAAUCCAGACUGACAAAGUUCUGGAACACAACACACCAGACAUCACAGUUGUGGAAAAGAAAAAGGUUUGGAUCAUUGAUGUCACCUGGGAUGGCAACAUCAAUGAUCCAAACCUUUUUCUUUUCCACAACUGUGAUGUCUGGUGUGUUGUGUUCCAGAACGUUGUCAGUCUGGAUUUGGAAGUCCCACAGUAUCUUUCCGUGCUCAUUUUCCAAUACUUUUGCAGGUUUGUGAUCCCACCAGUUCUUUAUUGCUGGGAGGUGGUACUUGAGGCAUAAGUUCCAAUGAAUCAUUUGGGCCACAGAGUUGUGCCUCUGUUUGUAGUCUGUCUGUGCGAUUUUCUUACAGCAGCUGAGGAUAUGAUCAAUGGUUUCGUCAGUUUCCUUGCACAGUUUGCAUUUGGGAUAUUAUUAUUAUUAUUAUUAUUAUUAUUAUUAUUAUUAUUACUACUACGUUUCCCAAACCCACAGCCCUGUAUGGGAGGCUUGGCUCAGGCAU
Molecule: long non-coding RNA, 2023 nt
Organism: Anolis carolinensis (green anole)
Lineage: Eukaryota; Metazoa; Chordata; Lepidosauria; Squamata; Anolidae
Source: Ensembl